Molecule: ribosomal RNA, 598 nt
Filed under: Cyphomyrmex muelleri fungal symbiont NJM-2012
Lineage: Eukaryota; Fungi; Basidiomycota; Agaricomycetes; Agaricales; Agaricaceae
Also listed under: 1 other name
Description: eukaryotic LSU rRNA
Rfam family: 5.8S ribosomal RNA (bases 206-359)
Source: RNAcentral
UUUCCGUAGGUGAACCUGCGGAAGGAUCAUUAUUGAAUACUCGAUGGGUUGUAGCUGGCUCCUCGGAGCAUGUGCACGCCUGUCUUGACUCUAUUCAUCCACCUGUGCACCUAUUGUAGUCUCAUUUGCUAUGUCUUUAUUCACAAACCAUGUAGUAUGUUGCAGAAUGUAUUCAAUGGGCCAUCGUGCCUAUAAAACCUUAUACAACUUUCAGCAACGGAUCUCUUGGCUCUCGCAUCGAUGAAGAACGCAGCGAAAUGCGAUAAGUAAUGUGAAUUGCAGAAUUCAGUGAAUCAUCGAAUCUUUGAACGCACCUUGCGCUCCUUGGUAUUCCGAGGAGCAUGCCUGUUUGAGAGUCAGUAAAUUCUCAACCCCACCAGCUUUUGUGAGUUGGCACUUGGGGAUUGGAUGUGGAGGUUCUGCCGGCCGGUCGGCUCCUCUGAAAUGUAUUAGCGGAACCGUUUGCGAUCCGUCACAGGUGUGAUAAUUAUCUACGCCAGUGGGUUGCUCUCUGUCUGUUCAGCUUCCAACCGUCCUCCGGGACAAACAUAACUGAACCUUUGACCUCAAAUCAGGUAGGACUACCCGCUGAACUUAA